CCCAGACUCCUACGGGAGGCAGCAGUGGGGGAUAUUGCACAAUGGGGGGAACCCUGAUGCAGCGACGCCGCGUGGGCGAUGGAGUGCUUCGGCAUGUAAAGCCCUAUCAGCAGGGAAGAAAAUGACGGUACCUGACUAAGAAGCCCCGGCUAAAUACGUGCCAGCAGCCGCGGUAAUACGUAUGGGGCAAGCGUUAUCCGGAUUUACUGGGUGUAAAGGGAGCGUAGGCGGCCUGGCAAGCCUGAUGUGAAAUACCGGGGCCCAACCCCGGGGCUGCAUUGGGAACUGCCAGGCUGGAGUGCCGGAGAGGCAGGCGGAAUUCCUAGUGUAGCGGUGAAAUGCGUAGAUAUUAGGAGGGACACCAGUGGCGAAGGCGGCUUACUGGACUGUAACUGACGUUGAGGCUCGAAAGCGUGGGGAGCAAACAGGAUUAGAUACCCGCGUA
This 445-nucleotide ribosomal RNA is filed under the name uncultured bacterium. Its description in RNAcentral is "bacterial SSU rRNA". It matches the Rfam family "Bacterial small subunit ribosomal RNA", at positions 330 to 792 of the family's 1533-position model. The record is from RNAcentral.